This 253-nucleotide ribosomal RNA is filed under the name uncultured bacterium. RNAcentral describes it as "partial 16S ribosomal RNA". It matches the Rfam family "Bacterial small subunit ribosomal RNA", at positions 524 to 776 of the family's 1533-position model. The record is from RNAcentral.
UACAGAGGGUGCGAGCGUUGUCCGGAAUCACUGGGCGUAAAGGGCGCGUAGGCGGCUUUUCAAGCGUGCGGUGAAAGCUCGGGGCUUAACUCCGAGUCUGCCGUGCGAACUGGGAGGCUUGAGUCUGGUAGAGGUCGAUGGAAUUCCGGGUGUAGCGGUGGAAUGCGUAGAGAUCCGGAAGAACACCGGGGGCGAAGGCGGUUGCCUGGCAGUGUAUUGACGCUGAGGUGCGAAAGCGUGGGGAGCAAACAGG